This 328-nucleotide ribosomal RNA is filed under the name uncultured soil bacterium. Its description in RNAcentral is "bacterial SSU rRNA". It matches the Rfam family "Bacterial small subunit ribosomal RNA", at positions 26 to 351 of the family's 1533-position model. The record is from RNAcentral.
AGAUUGAACGCUGGCGGCAUGCUUUACACAUGCAAGCCGAACGGUAACAGGCCGCAAGGUGCUGACGAGUGGCGAACGGGUGAGUAAUGCAUCGGAACGUGCCCAGUCGUGGGGGAUAACGCAGCGAAAGCUGUGCGUAAUACCGCAUACGAUCUAUGGAUGGAAAGCGGGGGACCGAAAGGCCUCGCGCGAUUGGAGCGGCCGAUGGUCAGUAUUAGCUAGUUGGGUGGGUAAAGGCCCACCGAAGGCGACGAUCUGUAGCUGGUCUGAGAGGACGACCAGCCACACUGGAACUGACGACACGGUCCAGACUCCGUACGGGACGCAG